Molecule: ribosomal RNA, 623 nt
Filed under: uncultured fungus
Lineage: Eukaryota; Fungi
Description: eukaryotic LSU rRNA
Rfam family: 5.8S ribosomal RNA (bases 258-411)
Source: RNAcentral
AGUAAAAGUCGUAACAAGGUUUCCGUAGGUGAACCUGCGGAAGGAUCAUUAAUGAGAAGCGGCCUCGCGGCCGUGGGGGCUUCGGUCCCCGACUCACACCCUCUGUUUACAUACGUUUGUUGCUUUGGCGGGCCUUGGGGUCAUACCCAUGCGUCUCAAGGGCUGCUCCGGUGACGGACAGCCUGGCGCGUGCGCCCGUCAAAGGCCCUAUCAAUUCUGUUUAUCAGUGUCGUCCGAGUAAAAACCAAAUAAAUUAAAACUUUCAACAACGGAUCUCUUGGUUCUGGCAUCGAUGAAGAACGCAGCGAAAUGCGAUAAGUAAUGUGAAUUGCAGAAUUCAGUGAAUCAUCGAAUCUUUGAACGCACAUUGCGCCCCUCGGUAUUCCGGGGGGCAUGCCUGUUCGAGCGUCAUUGCACCCCUCAAGCGUAGCUUGGUAUUGGGCCCUCGCCUCCCCCGGCGUGCCCGAAAAGCAUUGGCGGCCCGCGGUGGUUUCAAGCGUAGUAAUUUUCUCCCGCUCUGCAAACCUCAUCGUGGGCUCGCCAGCAACCCCACACUUUCAAUGAAUUGACCUCGGAUCAGGUAGGGAUACCCGCUGAACUUAAGCAUAUCAAUAAGCGGAGGA